GCGUAAAGAGCUCGUAGGCGGUUUGGUAAGUCGGGUGUGAAAACUCCAGGCUCAACCUGGAGACGCCACUCGAUACUGCCAUGACUAGAGUCCGGUAGGGGAGCGUGGAAUUCCUGGUGUAGCGGUGAAAUGCGCAGAUAUCAGGAGGAACACCAGUGGCGAAGGCGGCGCUCUGGGCCGGAACUGACGCUGAGGAGCGAAA
RNAcentral lists this ribosomal RNA (202 nucleotides) under Acinetobacter baumannii. Its description in RNAcentral is "partial 16S ribosomal RNA". It matches the Rfam family "Bacterial small subunit ribosomal RNA", at positions 558 to 758 of the family's 1533-position model. The record is from RNAcentral. Lineage: Bacteria; Pseudomonadati; Pseudomonadota; Gammaproteobacteria; Moraxellales; Moraxellaceae.